Salvelinus fontinalis (brook trout) is the source of this 2347-nucleotide long non-coding RNA. RefSeq lists it as uncharacterized. The transcript has 3 exons. Lineage: Eukaryota; Metazoa; Chordata; Actinopteri; Salmoniformes; Salmonidae. The record is from RefSeq and is a predicted model, not a curated record.
GAACGGCGCCUGAGAGAGCGGUUUGCUAGCCUCAUACGAGCCAUCCUGAUCUCGGCAGGUUUACUAUCUGUUUCGCUACAUGGAUAUAAUCUGGCCACGAUCAGACUCAAAACGGUGGGGGAACCUCCCUUCCGUCCACCGUAUGGCCAGACCAAUCAGCAUCCUCUGAUAAUCUGUGGGGGUGGUUAAAUGGUUGAGGACAACGAAAAUCAAAAAUCAUAACAACAAUGACUGGAGGUUGCUGUUAACCGCUGCUGUAGCAGUAUCAUGUCAGAACGGAAGGGCAUAACUUAAUUGAAAGAACAGCAAAUAGCUGCAUUGAAGGCUUUUCUCGGCGGAGAAGAUGAUUUUCGUUCUUCUCCCGAAUGGGUUUGCCAAGCACUUGAUUUACCAGCUAGGUCCACUGGUAGACAAGAAAAUGGGACGGUUCAAUAACCCAAUUCUCAUUGUUGUGUCAACGUGGGUCGUUUUAAUGGAGGUUCACAUCACAUACAAAUGGGGAGAGGUCGCAAAAGGGGAGCCAGCCAUCAGAGAGAGCUUUGCAGAGUUGGGGAAACUGAUUCAUAGCCGAAGAGGGAAAUCACGCAUAGAACGAGCAGUAUGGAUGAGCCUGCAGGAAGGGUACCACAUGAGGGAGGAGGAUGUCUUCCCUGUAACACACAGCAUUGAGAUUGCCUGCAAUGACAACAAGCGCAGUCCAAUGAUGCUGUGACACACCGCCGCAGACCAUGACGGACCCUCCACCUCCAAAUUGAUCCCGCUCCAGAGUACAGGCCUCAUUCCUUCGACGAUAAACGUGAAUCCGACCAUCACCCCUGGUGAGACAAAACUGCGACUCGUCAGUGAAGAGCACUUUUUGACAGUCCUGUCUGGUCCAGCGACGGUGGGUUUGUUCCCAUAGGCGACAUUGUUGCCGGUGAUGUCUGGUGAUGACCUGCCUUACAACAGGCCUACAAGCCCUCGGUCCAGCCUCUCUCAGCCUAUUGCGGACAGUCUGAGCACUGAUGGAGGGAUUGUGCGUUCUUGGUGUAACUCGGGCAGUUAUUGUUGCCAUCCUGUACCUGUUCCGCAGGUGUAAUGUUCGGAUGUACCAAUCCUGUGCAGGUGUUGUUACACGUGGUCUGCCACUGCGAAGAUGAUCAGCAGUCCGUCCCGUCUCCCUGUAGCGCUGUCUUAGGCGUCUCACAGUAUGGACAUUGCAAUUUAUUGCCCUGGUCACAUCUGCAGUCCUCAUGCCUCCUUGCAGCAUGCCUAAGGCACGUUCACGCAGAUGAGCAGGGACCCUGGGCAUCUUUAUUUGGUGUUUUCAGAGUCAGUAGAAAGACCUCUUUAGUGUCUUAUGUUUUCAUAACUGUGACCUUAUUUGCCUACCGUCUGUAAGCUGUUAGUGUCUUAACGACUGUUCCACAGGUGCAUGUUCAUGAAUUGGUUAUGGUUCAUUUAAACUGUGUUUAAACCCUUUUACAAUGAAGAUCUGUGAAGUUAUUUGGAUUUUUACGAAUUAUCUUUGAAAGACAGGGUCCUGAAAAAGAGGACGUUUCUUUUUUUGCUGAGUUUAUAUCCCAAAUCAUUGCAGGAUAAAAUAAUAUAUAAUUCAACAAACAGAAAAACGGUGGAUUUUUCUCCAUCCUCCCAUUAUUCAGAAUAUAUAAUUUUCAUUGUCAUGGGACACUUUGUUUGAGAGCUAUUGACGAUUGAAUGCCAGAGAAUUAAAAAAAACUUUAACCAGAAAAAAAGCGGUGGAUUUUUCUCCAUCCUCCCCUGAUUCAGAAUAUAUCAUUUUCAUAGUCAUGGCAUUGAGCAAUAGCCCUGGUUCCCACAGACACAGUAGUAUAUGUUUUGUGCCUGGCUGAAUCCUAUGUCACAGCCACUGACAAAACACUUGUCUCGAAUCCUUACAUUGUAGCGCAGCAGGAGAGAAAGGUUUCACCACGGUAGCACAUUGAGAUCAAUUUAUAACCGUUAAUAUCAAAUAAUGUGAUUUGAAACAAAAAAAUACUUUCUGUUUGUCAAGAUUAAUAUGAGAUGAAAGGCGAGUGUGAUCUUCAUAGCAGUGGGGGCAGAUGUUUUGAUCAAGAGAGACCUUUAGAAAACAUGUACAUUUUCUCUAAAACCAGACAUACAGAUGCAUUUUCAGUUACAGUAUAAGGAAGGUGAAGUCUUAUGGUUUUUGGUUAAUGUUUUUUAUAAUUUGAUUAUACUAUACGUCAUUUCAAACCUUAUUCAUACAGUUUUGUUGAAUAGGAAAUAAAUAUUUCAUAUUUUUAUCAUAUUUGUACUGUGUACUUGAGUUCGUGUCCUCAACAGUGUCUACACCUCAGCAUUUUAUUAAAAAAAUAUACCAGAA